Molecule: transfer RNA, 72 nt
Filed under: Globodera rostochiensis
Lineage: Eukaryota; Metazoa; Nematoda; Chromadorea; Rhabditida; Heteroderidae
Rfam family: tRNA
About the family: Transfer RNA (tRNA) molecules are approximately 80 nucleotides in length. Their secondary structure includes four short double-helical elements and three loops (D, anti-codon, and T loops).
Source: Rfam by way of RNAcentral
GGUUCCGUAGUGUAGCGGUUAUCACAUUGGACUCUGAAUCCAGUAACCCCGGUUCGAAUCCGGGCGGGACCU